Mauremys reevesii (Reeves's turtle) is the source of this 157-nucleotide long non-coding RNA. RefSeq lists it as uncharacterized. The record is from RefSeq and is a predicted model, not a curated record. NCBI's taxonomy places the organism in Eukaryota, Metazoa, Chordata, Testudines, Geoemydidae. The transcript is spliced from 3 exons.
AGAGACGCUGCGACGGGAGCUGGGGAGCGACACAGGCUGCAGAAUAACAUUCCCGGGUCCCUCCAGAUUCUCCCAGCCUGCCCAGGGAAGGGAAAUGGAUGCAGCAGACCUGGUUCAGGGGCCGGUGACCUUCAAGGAGGUGGCUGUGUAUUUCACC